UACGUAGGGUGCAAGCGUUGUCCGGAAUUACUGGGCGUAAAGAGUUCGUAGGCGGUUUGUCGCGUCGUUUGUGAAAACUCACAGCUCAACUGUGAGCCUGCAGGCGAUACGGGCAGACUUGAGUACUGCAGGGGAGACUGGAAUUCCUGGUGUAGCGGUGAAAUGCGCAGAUAUCAGGAGGAACACCGGUGGCGAAGGCGGGUCUCUGGGCAGUAACUGACGCUGAGGAGCGAAAGCGUGGGGAGCGAACAGG
This 253-nucleotide ribosomal RNA is filed under the name uncultured bacterium. RNAcentral describes it as "partial 16S ribosomal RNA". It matches the Rfam family "Bacterial small subunit ribosomal RNA", at positions 524 to 776 of the family's 1533-position model. The record is from RNAcentral.